UACGUAGGGUGCAAGCGUUAAUCGGAAUUACUGGGCGUAAAGCGUGCGCAGGCGGCUUUGCAAGACAGAUGUGAAAUCCCCGGGCUCAACCUGGGAACUGCAUUUGUGACUGCAAGGCCAGAGUACGGCAGAGGGGGAUGGAAUUCCGCGUGUAGCAGUGAAAUGCGUAGAUAUGCGGAGGAACACCAAUGGCGAAGGCAAUCCCCUGGGCCUGUACUGACGCUCAUGCACGAAAGCGUGGGGAGCAAACAGG
Molecule: ribosomal RNA, 253 nt
Filed under: uncultured bacterium
Lineage: Bacteria
Description: partial 16S ribosomal RNA
Rfam family: Bacterial small subunit ribosomal RNA
Source: RNAcentral